GGCUGUUCCCCUCUGGAGGUUCAAACCUUCACACCUACAGGGCCCAGGCUUUCGCUUGAGGCCUUUUUUUUUGCCUUGC
Molecule: unclassified non-coding RNA, 79 nt
Filed under: Rhizobium subbaraonis
Lineage: Bacteria; Pseudomonadati; Pseudomonadota; Alphaproteobacteria; Hyphomicrobiales; Rhizobiaceae
Description: suhB
Rfam family: Alphaproteobacterial ar15 (bases 1-70)
Source: RNAcentral